GUGAUUACUUAAACGUUUCUCCUGAUCUUUAAUGUCCUGAAGCAGCUUCUCGUUUGUCUUGUGUAUGUCCUUUAUACAGUACAGUAUAUUUACUCAUCUCCUUUAUGCCCCCUUCCAGAGAGCAGUAAUCAUUGUGGUGAUCGUUACCUUCAGCUCGGACUGUUCGUUGUGGUCUUCGAUUAGCUAUCCCUGCUGGAGUUUGACAACGGGGUCAGUAAGGCCAAGCACAGUUCCAAUGAACCUUCAAGAAUCGACCAGUUCUCCUGGCCCGACUCACUUGCAGUUUCGCUCCACUCUUGGCUGGAGCCGGUAGUGCAGCGCCAAGUCCUCGGAAAGCUAUUCUUUCAACUCUCCGUUCCAGGUGGUGCAUGCAGAUAACUCGUGUGAAACAAAACAAAUGUGCACUGAGGUUGGAGACGAGCAGAUCUGGUAUAUAUGGUGAGUUGAGUGUAUAGGAGAUCACUGGAGGGUCUGAAGAGAUACGAAAGGUGCCAUAUAGAAAGAAGUGUAUUGGGAGAGAUGGGAAUGAUAGAAAAGAGCUGAUGAUAAACGGAUACGAGAGGUACUACAGACAAUAGAUACGGAGAAAUGAAAGGACACUAUACUCAAUAGAAAGAAAUGAAACGUGCUAUAACAUCUGUGUAGAUGGGAUGUGAAUUUGUAUUUAAUAUGCUAGAGUAUCUGCAGAUACUGUAUCACAUACUGUACGCUUCUCGCAACUGAGAGGAUG
Molecule: long non-coding RNA, 730 nt
Organism: Polypterus senegalus (gray bichir)
Lineage: Eukaryota; Metazoa; Chordata; Cladistia; Polypteriformes; Polypteridae
Exons: 3
Source: RefSeq, a predicted model, not a curated record